UCCCUGGAGGACUAGUGGUUAGGCCACAGUGCUCUCAUGGCUGUGGCUUGGGUUCGAUUCCCGGCCAGGGAA
RNAcentral lists this transfer RNA (72 nucleotides) under Pangasianodon gigas (Mekong giant catfish). RNAcentral describes it as "tRNA-Glu". It matches the Rfam family "tRNA". Rfam says of the family: Transfer RNA (tRNA) molecules are approximately 80 nucleotides in length. Their secondary structure includes four short double-helical elements and three loops (D, anti-codon, and T loops). The record is from RNAcentral. Lineage: Eukaryota; Metazoa; Chordata; Actinopteri; Siluriformes; Pangasiidae.